GAUGAACGCUGGCGGCGUGCCUAAUACAUGCAAGUCGAGCGAACAGAUAAGGAGCUUGCUCCUUUGACGUUAGCGGCGGACGGGUGAGUAACACGUGGGUAACCUACCUAUAAGACUGGGAUAACUUCGGGAAACCGGAGCUAAUACCGGAUAAUAUUUCGAACCGCAUGGUUCGAUAGUGAAAGAUGGUUUUGCUAUCACUUAUAGAUGGACCCGCGCCGUAUUAGCUAGUUGGUAAGGUAACGGCUUACCAAGGCGACGAUACGUAGCCGACCUGAGAGGGUGAUCGGCCACACUGGAACUGAGACACGGUCCAGACUCCUACGGGAGGCAGCAGUAGGGAAUCUUCCGCAAUGGGCGAAAGCCUGACGGAGCAACGCCGCGUGAGUGAUGAAGGUCUUCGGAUCGUAAAACUCUGUUAUUAGGGAAGAACAUACGUGUAAGUAACUGUGCACGUCUUGACGGUACCUAAUCAGAAAGCCACGGCUAACUACGUGCCAGCAGCCGCGGUAAUACGUAGGUGGCAAGCGUUAUCCGGAAUUAUUGGGCGUAAAGCGCGCGUAGGCGGUUUUUUAAGUCUGAUGUGAAAGCCCACGGCUCAACCGUGGAGGGUCAUUGGAAACUGGAAAACUUGAGUGCAGAAGAGGAAAGUGGAAUUCCAUGUGUAGCGGUGAAAUGCGCAGAGAUAUGGAGGAACACCAGUGGCGAAGGCGACUUUCUGGUCUGUAACUGACGCUGAUGUGCGAAAGCGUGGGGAUCAAACAGGAUUAGAUACCCUGGUAGUCCACGCCGUAAACGAUGAGUGCUAAGUGUUAGGGGGUUUCCGCCCCUUAGUGCUGCAGCUAACGCAUUAAGCACUCCGCCUGGGGAGUACGACCGCAAGGUUGAAACUCAAAGGAAUUGACGGGGACCCGCACAAGCGGUGGAGCAUGCGGUUUAAUUCGAAGCAACGCGAAGAACCUUACCAAAUCUUGACAUCCUUUGACAACUCUAGAGAUAGAGCUUUCCCCUUCGGGGGACAAAGUGACAGGUGGUGCAUGGUUGUCGUCAGCUCGUGUCGUGAGAUGUUGGGUUAAGUCCCGCAACGAGCGCAACCCUUAAGCUUAGUCGCCAUCAUUAAGUUGGGCACUCUAAGUUGACUGCCGGUGACAAACCGGAGGAAGGUGGGGAUGACGUCAAAUCAUCAUGCCCCUUAUGAUUUGGGCUACACACGUGCUACAAUGGACAAUACAAAGGGUAGCGAAACCGCGAGGUCAAGCAAAUCCCAUAAAGUUGUUCUCAGUUCGGAUUGUAGUCUGCAACUCGACUACAUGAAGCUGGAAUCGCUAGUAAUCGUAGAUCAGCAUGCUACGGUGAAUACGUUCCCGGGUCU
RNAcentral lists this ribosomal RNA (1372 nucleotides) under uncultured bacterium. RNAcentral's name for it is "bacterial SSU rRNA". It matches the Rfam family "Bacterial small subunit ribosomal RNA", at positions 28 to 1381 of the family's 1533-position model. The record is from RNAcentral.